Molecule: ribosomal RNA, 253 nt
Filed under: uncultured bacterium
Lineage: Bacteria
Description: partial 16S ribosomal RNA
Rfam family: Bacterial small subunit ribosomal RNA
Source: RNAcentral
UACGGAGGGUGCAAGCGUUAAUCGGAUUUAUUGGGCGUAAAGGGGGCGUAGGUGGAAGAGAAAGUCACGUGUGAAAUUUCGGUGCUUAACGCCGAAGCUGCACGUGAAACUCCUUUUCUAGAGGAUGGACGGAGAAAACGGAAUUCCACAAGUAGCGGUGAAAUGCGUAGAUAUGUGGAAGAACACCGGUGGCGAAGGCGGUUUUCUAGUUUAUACCUGACACUGAGGCCCGAAAGCGAGGGGAGCAAACAGG